Molecule: non-coding RNA, 72 nt
Organism: Podospora conica
Lineage: Eukaryota; Fungi; Ascomycota; Sordariomycetes; Sordariales; Podosporaceae
Source: the annotation of a GenBank genome assembly
GGGCCGCUGGUCUAGUGGUAUGAUUCUCGUAAGUCAUGCGAGAGGUCCCGGGUUCAAUCCCCGGGUGGCCCC